This 253-nucleotide ribosomal RNA is filed under the name uncultured bacterium. Its description in RNAcentral is "partial 16S ribosomal RNA". It matches the Rfam family "Bacterial small subunit ribosomal RNA", at positions 524 to 776 of the family's 1533-position model. The record is from RNAcentral.
UACGGGGGGUGCGAGCGUUGUCCGGAAUCACUGGGCGUAAAGGGCGCGUAGGUGGCUCUGUAAGUUUGCGGUGAAAGCCCGGGGCUCAGCCCCGGGUCUACCGUGGAUACUGCAAGGCUUGAGUACUGUAGAGGCAGGUAGAAUAUCGGGUGUAGCGGUGGAAUGCGUAGAGAUGCGAUAGAAGAACGGUGGCGAAGGCGGCCUGCUGGGCAGUAACUGACGCUGAGGCGCGACAGCGUGGGGAGCAAACAGG